GGUUGUGUAGUGUAGCGGUUAUCACUCCGGAUUCUGAUUCCGGCAACCCCGGUUCGAUUCCGGGCAUGACCU
RNAcentral lists this transfer RNA (72 nucleotides) under Thermothelomyces thermophilus ATCC 42464. Its description in RNAcentral is "tRNA-Gln (CTG) (tRNA-Gln-CTG-4-1)". It matches the Rfam family "tRNA". From Rfam's summary of the family: Transfer RNA (tRNA) molecules are approximately 80 nucleotides in length. Lineage: Eukaryota; Fungi; Ascomycota; Sordariomycetes; Sordariales; Chaetomiaceae. The record is from RNAcentral.